GUAGCACAGAGAGCUUGCUCUCGGGUGACGAGCGGCGGACGGGUGAGUAAUGUCUGGGAAACUGCCUGAUGGAGGGGGAUAACUACUGGAAACGGUAGCUAAUACCGCAUAAUGUCGCAAGACCAAAGUGGGGGACCUUCGGGCCUCAUGCCAUCAGAUGUGCCCAGAUGGGAUUAGCUAGUAGGUGGGGUAACGGCUCACCUAGGCGACGAUCCCUAGCUGGUCUGAGAGGAUGACCAGCCACACUGGAACUGAGACACGGUCCAGACUCCUACGGGAGGCAGCAGUGGGGAAUAUUGCACAAUGGGCGCAAGCCUGAUGCAGCCAUGCCGCGUGUGUGAAGAAGGCCUUCGGGUUGUAAAGCACUUUCAGCGGGGAGGAAGGCGGUGAGGUUAAUAACCUUGGCGAUUGACGUUACCCGCAGAAGAAGCACCGGCUAACUCCGUGCCAGCAGCCGCGGUAAUACGGAGGGUGCAAGCGUUAAUCGGAAUUACUGGGCGUAAAG
RNAcentral lists this ribosomal RNA (505 nucleotides) under Klebsiella pneumoniae. RNAcentral describes it as "bacterial SSU rRNA". It matches the Rfam family "Bacterial small subunit ribosomal RNA", at positions 66 to 565 of the family's 1533-position model. Lineage: Bacteria; Pseudomonadati; Pseudomonadota; Gammaproteobacteria; Enterobacterales; Enterobacteriaceae. The record is from RNAcentral.